GCAAAGACGGCGGGUGUAUCUUUGAGAAGGAUGACAUCAUCUACAAUUGUGCCUGUUCAAUUUGCGACUAAGGAUCCAAGACUAACCAGCUCUGCAUUAUGCAGCUGAUCAUGCUACCUGAAGAACACCUGCACCUUUUCUACAAGAAGGGUCCAAUUGGCCAUGAUCAUAUGGCACAGGAACGAGUCGAGGAUUUUGGUAACCAUGUCAACGGUGCUAUCAAGGAAUUUGCCCGUCUAUUCAAGGAGGUUACUGGAAAUGAUUUCGAGCCAUGGGAGAGAGAAAAGAAGUUUGAGAAGAAGAGUAUGAAGAUGUACCCCUUGGACAUGGACUAGUCCGUUGCCCGUGCGUUGCUACGGUGCCAUGCAUAUACUCUGGUUCAACACCAGUUCUGAAGUAUACCUUUAGAAUCCUCAUGAAAACUAAACAAUAUUGUUAUCCUUUUCUUUACAAUUAAAUCACUAUUUUCAUUUACCGUCAAUUUAUUUUUAUUUCAUUGAUCUACAGAAAAAUAUAUAUGUGUGCUUGCAUAA
Hordeum vulgare subsp. vulgare (domesticated barley) is the source of this 533-nucleotide long non-coding RNA. RefSeq lists it as uncharacterized. The transcript is spliced from 3 exons. Lineage: Eukaryota; Viridiplantae; Streptophyta; Magnoliopsida; Poales; Poaceae. The record is from RefSeq and is a predicted model, not a curated record.